AAGGAGGCAAACAGAAGCGAUCUUAUCAACCGCAGGUGGAUGUACGGGAAAGGGGUGAAAAUCCCCUGCUGCCCCGCAACUGUGACGGCCACGAAAGCCGCACUGAGCCACUGUGCGCCUCAGGCGCACGGGAAGGCGCGGCGAGUAGGACUGAUCGUGAUCGUGGAUCGUGACCGUGUUCGUUCAAAGAAAUUUACGAGCACGAGGGACGAGCACGAACACGACUAAAAAGCCUAAGCCAGGAGACCGGUCCUUCCUGCCCUAACAAC
This 269-nucleotide non-coding RNA is filed under the name Deltaproteobacteria bacterium. Lineage: Bacteria; Pseudomonadati; Myxococcota; Myxococcia. The record is from RNAcentral.